AACGAACGCUGGCGGCAUGCCUAACACAUGCGAGUCGAACGAGACCUUCGGGUCUAGUGGCGCACGGGUGCGUAACGCGUGGGAACCUGCCCUUAGGUUCGGAAUAACUCCCCGAAAGGGGUGCUAAUACCGGAUAAUGUCUUCGGACCAAAGAUUUAUCGCCUUUGGAUGGGCCCGCGUUGGAUUAGCUAGUUGGUAGGGUAAAAGCCUACCAAGGCGACGAUCCAUAGCUGGUCUGAGAGGAUGAUCAGCCACACUGGUACUGAGACACGGCCCAGACUCCUACGGGAGGCAGCAGUGGGGAAUAUUGGACAAUGGGCGAAAGCCUGAUCCAGCAAUGCCGCGUGAGUGAUGAAGGCCUUAGGGUUGUAAAGCUCUUUUACCCGGGAUGAUAAUGACAGUACCGGGAGAAUAAGCUCCGGCUAACUCCGUG
RNAcentral lists this ribosomal RNA (433 nucleotides) under uncultured bacterium. RNAcentral describes it as "partial 16S ribosomal RNA". It matches the Rfam family "Bacterial small subunit ribosomal RNA", at positions 29 to 507 of the family's 1533-position model. The record is from RNAcentral.